RNAcentral lists this ribosomal RNA (1973 nucleotides) under bioreactor sludge metagenome. RNAcentral describes it as "bacterial LSU rRNA". It matches the Rfam family "Bacterial large subunit ribosomal RNA", at positions 3 to 1983 of the family's 2925-position model. The record is from RNAcentral.
UCAAGAUAAUAAGGGUAUAUGGUGGAUGUCUUGGCAUUAAGAGGCGAAGAAGGACGUGAUAAGCUGCGAUAAACCUCGGGGAGCUGCAAGUAAGCUUUGAUCCGGGGGUCUCCGAAUAAUCGUGCAUCCAAUCAAUAGGUGCAUGAAGCUAACCCAGCGAACUGAAACAUCUAAGUAGCUGGAGGAAAAGAAAGAAAAUCGAUUCCCUUAGUAGUGGCGAACGAAGAGGGAAGAGCCCAAACCUGUUAGCUUCGGCUGGCAGGGGUUGUAGGACCCAAUGUGGGACUCAGUGAGAAUAGGAAAACGGUGUGGAAAAGCCGGCCAUAGAGGGUGAAAGCCCCGUAUUCGAAAUUUGAGCUGACUCUAGGGUAUCCUGAGUAAUGCGGGUCACGUGGAACCCCGUGUGAAUCUGGGAGGACCAUCUCCCAAGGCUAAAUACUACUUAAUGACCGAUAGUGGACUAGUAGCGUGAGUGAACGAUGAAAAGUACCCCGGCGAGGGGAGUGAAAUAGUACCUGAAACCAUAUACCUACAAGCUGUUAGAGCUCUAUGUCUUCGGACACGAGUGAUAGCGUGCCUAUUGCAUAAUGAUCCUGCGAGUUACUGAUGUACGGCAAGGUUAAGCCUUUACGGGGCGAAGCCGAAGCGAAAGCGAGUCUUAAAUGGGCGCCAUAAGUCGUACGUCGUAGACCUGAAACCAAUGCGAUCUAUUCAUGAUCAGGUUGAAGCGAGAGUAAAAUCUCGUGGAGGACCGAACCCACGUUAGUUGAAAAUAACGGGGAUGAGUUGUGAAUAGGAGUGAAAGUCUAAUCAAGCUUGGAGAUAUCUGGUUCUCUCCGAAAUAUAUUUAGGUAUAGCCUCGAGCCACUACGUUAUAGGGGUAGAGCACUGAUUAAACUAGGGCCCUUACCCGGGUACCAAAUUUUAUCAAACUCCGAAUACUAUAACGAUUAUCUCGGGAGUCAGACUGUGGGGGAGAAGCUUCAUAGUCGAGAGGGGAACAGCCCAGACCGCCGAAUAAGGUCCCUAAGAAUGUGCUAAGUGUUAUGAAGGAUGUGAAGAUGCUAAGACAGCUAGGAUGUUGGCUUAGAAGCAGCCACCAUUUAAAAAGUGCGUAAUAGCUUACUAGUCGAGCAUUUUCGCGCCGAUGAUACGCGGGACUAAAGCACAUCACCGAAGUCGCGGGUUUGCACUAUGUGCAAGCAGUAGGAGAGCGUCGAUAAGCAGAUACAAGCCAUACCGAAAGGAGUGGUCACGGGCUUAUCGAGUGAUUAUGCAGGUAUGAGUAACGAUAAUUAUGGUGAGAAUCCAUAACGCCGUAAACCUAAGGUUUCCCGGGGAAGGUAAUUCCGCCCGGGGUUAGUCGGGACCUAAGUCAAGGCUGAAAAGCGUAGGCGAUGGACAACAGGCUAAUAUUCCUGUACCAAUUAGCAAAGGUUAUGACCUAUGGAGUGACGGAGAAAGCUAACUAUGCCCUCGGUUAGAUGUGGGGGUGCAAGCAUGUAGGAGGUUACCUUGGCAAAUCCGGGUAACAUCAACUCUGAGAUGUGAUGCGGUAGAAUUUCGGUUCUGUAAGAUAGUGAUGCUACGCUUCCUAGAAAAGCUUCUAUGGCACGAUGCUAUUUGCUCGUACUAAAACUGACACAGGUAGGUGAGGAGAGUAUCCUCAGGCGCUCGAGAGAACUCUCGUUAAGGAACUCGGCAAAUUGGAUCCGUAACUUCGGGAAAAGGAUCGCCUGAUUCGUGUAGGGAUUUACUCCUAAAAGCGAUGAUGGCCGCAGUGAAAAGGCCCAAGCGACUGUUUACUAAAAACACAGGUCUGUGCAAAAUAUCAAUAUGAUGUAUACAGACUGACGCCUGCUCGAUGCUGGAAGGUUAAAGAAGCCGGUGCAAGCUGGCAACUGAAGCCCCAGUGAAUGGCGGCCGUAACUAUGACGGUCCUAAGGUAGCGAAAUUCCUUGUCGGGUAAGUUC